UAGUGUAAUUAGUAACACCUGUUAUCUUCUCUGUUAGCAUGCUAAUGCUAGCGAGUGGAAAGCAUGCUUUUCUUCGUUUUCCCUUUUCUUUCUACAGUUAGCAAGAGAGAAAAUUAAGAUGUCAGACAUGCUGCGACAGGCUGAGCCCCCAAGAUGUUGAAGCAGGAGGAAACGCAGGAAUCAAGGGGGGAGUCUGUCUCAUCACCGCAGGCCUCACUAAACCCAAUCAGGCCUGCAAUGAGUAGCGUCAUCAGCAGAUGAGCUAUUCUCCCCUCGAGACGCCGCCCCCCCCACCGUCUGAUCUCUGUGGGUUCAGGAGGCGGAGCUCAGCCCACCACUGGAAGUCCUGUGUUGUAGACCAUAAGGAAACGCCAUUAGAACAUCACCACCAAUAUUUAUGCAAGGAAGUUCUUCCAUCCCAGUUUCCACCCUCAGUCUAGCAACAGCUGAACUUCAAAGCUCUGAAGACACAUUUCUUCCUCUCGCUGGCGUGUGAUUUCAUCUUUCCGUGGCUUUGUCUGACUCGUGAAUCCGACUGGAACCUGGAGCGAGACCUCACCAAGCGGAUCUUGAAGUCAAACUCUUCUUUUCAUUAAAGAUGACUUUGAAGUUCAAUUAAAUGCUCAAUCUCUUCCAUAUUUUAUCAUUCUGAAAGGAUGUAAAGGUCAGGAGAUAUGCAUCAGGUCAAGUCUGGCUUGGACUUCGACGUGCGGCUGAAUCCAGCAUUCGUACGUCCAGGAAACUAAUUGGAGCCGACAAGGUUCCUCUGUAAAGCAACAUAUCAGGAGACUGCAGGACACAGGCCGACUUCACAGAUAAACAUCUUGGCUCCAAAUAGACAAUUAGCGUGUUUUCUUCAGGACGCCUGAUUUGAAAGAUCAAAGACACCUGGGGCUCGGAUCAUCGGCUCCGGCGGACGUGUCCCUGUCCCUCUUGCUUAUUGUCACCCUCCCAAACGCCUGCUCUCCCUCCCCUAUGUGCUGCGUUCAGUGACCUCAGGAGAUCUGUGACCCUCAGGCCUCAGGCCCCGGGAGCAGCUGUUUCACACCACCACGACUUUCCUUCCGUGAAGGUUUAUGGUGGGAGGGUGGAAAUGAUCAGACAUGGGGACGUGUGCUCCCCGUCCAUGUGUAACUGGAUCGGAUGGAACUAUUGGAAACACUUUAGGACUUUAUUUGUUUUUUACUAAAUGUGCUAUUUCCAUGGUAACACAAAAUACAUAGUAAAAAAUGCUGCUUAGUUAAACAACCUUGAUAACCAAAGAAUAUUUUUGUCUAUUUAUGACAUGUUUUAUAUUUAGGGUGUAAUGCCGUUUAAGUGUAACAACAUAAAUACAAGUGUUAUGGAUUAAGUAAUCAAACUAAUGACUUUUAUCAGCAAAAGAAAGAUUUGUGAACCCUUAGGAAUUACUUGGUUCAUGCAUAAACUGGACACACAAUUGCGUUAAAAAAAAAAAAAAA
Long non-coding RNA from Oryzias melastigma (Indian medaka), 1460 nucleotides. RefSeq lists it as uncharacterized. Lineage: Eukaryota; Metazoa; Chordata; Actinopteri; Beloniformes; Adrianichthyidae. The record is from RefSeq and is a predicted model, not a curated record. The transcript has 3 exons.